GAAACCUCAUCUUGCUUACACGCCAUCCGGGCGUCGAGCAGUGUUUUUUACAAGAAAACACAGGCACUCCGCCUGGGUGAGGAGAGAGU
This 89-nucleotide non-coding RNA is filed under the name unclassified sequences. The record is from Rfam.